GUGUAGCGUAGCCUGGUAGCGCGCCUGCUUUGGGAGCAGGAUGUCGGGAGUUCGAAUCUCUCCAC
RNAcentral lists this transfer RNA (65 nucleotides) under Gallionellales bacterium RIFOXYB12_FULL_54_9. Its description in RNAcentral is "tRNA-Pro". It matches the Rfam family "tRNA", at positions 5 to 66 of the family's 71-position model. Rfam says of the family: Transfer RNA (tRNA) molecules are approximately 80 nucleotides in length. Their secondary structure includes four short double-helical elements and three loops (D, anti-codon, and T loops). The record is from RNAcentral. Lineage: Bacteria; Pseudomonadati; Pseudomonadota; Betaproteobacteria; Nitrosomonadales.